This 58-nucleotide transfer RNA is filed under the name Riccia membranacea. Its description in RNAcentral is "partial tRNA-Phe". The record is from RNAcentral. Lineage: Eukaryota; Viridiplantae; Streptophyta; Marchantiopsida; Marchantiales; Ricciaceae.
GCCGGGAUAACUCAUUUGGUAGAACAGAGGACUGAAAAUCCUCGUGUCACCAGUUCAA